UACGAAGGGGACUAGCGUUGUUCGGAAUCACUGGGCGUAAAGCGCACGUAGGCGGAUGUGUCAGUCAGGGGUGAAAUCCCGGAGCUCAACUUCGGAACUGCCUUUGAUACAGCACAUCUUGAGUCCGGAAGAGGUGGGUGGAAUUCCUAGUGUAGAGGUGAAAUUCGUAGAUAUUAGGAAGAACACCGGUGGCGAAGGCGGCCCACUGGUCCGGUACUGACGCUGAGGUGCGAAAGCGUGGGGAGCAAACAGG
RNAcentral lists this ribosomal RNA (253 nucleotides) under uncultured bacterium. RNAcentral describes it as "partial 16S ribosomal RNA". It matches the Rfam family "Bacterial small subunit ribosomal RNA", at positions 524 to 776 of the family's 1533-position model. The record is from RNAcentral.